AUAGUUUGAUCCUGGCUCAAUUGAACGCUGGCGGUAGGCUUAACACAUGCAAGUCGUGCGAGAAAGUACCUUCGGGUGCGAGUAGAGCGGCGGACGGGUGAGUAACGCGUAGGAAUCUACCUAGUAGAAGGGGAUAGCCCGGGGAAACUCGGAUUAAUACCGUAUACCUCCUUAGGGAGAAAGAGGGCUUAGCUUUGAUGCUCUCGCUAUUAGAUGAGCCUGCGUAAGAUUAGCUUGUUGGUGAGGUAAUGGCUCACCAGGGCGACGAUCCUUAGCUGGUCUGAGAGGACGAUCAGCCACAUUGGGACUGAGACACGGCCCAGACUCCUACGGGAGGCAGCAGUGGGGAAUAUUGGACAAUGGGCGCAAGCCUGAUCCAGCCAUACCGCGUGUGUGAAGAAGGCUUUCGGGUUGUAAAGCACUUUAAGUGAGGAGGAAAAGAUUGUAGUUAAUACCUGCAAGCCGAGACGUUACUUACAGAAUAAGACCGACUAUUCGUGCCAGCAGCCGCGUAAUACGGAAGGUCAAAGCGUUAAUCGAAAUUACUGGGCGUAAAGCGCGCGUAGGUGGUUUUUUAAGUUGGAUGUGAAAGCCCUGGGCUCAACCUAGGAACUGCAUCCAAAACUAGAUGACUAGAGUACGAAAGAGGGAAGUAGAAUUCACAGUGUAGCGGUGGAAUGCGUAGAUAUUGUGAAGAAUACCAAUGGCGAAGGCAGCUUCCUGGUUCUGUACUGACACUGAGGUGCGAAAGCGUGGGUAGCGAACAGGAUUAGAUACCCUGGUAGUCCACGCCGUAAACGAUGACAACUAGCUGUUGGGAGACAAGAUCUCUCAGUGGCGCAGCUAACGCUUUAAGUUGUCCGCCUGGGGAGUACGGCCGCAAGGUUAAAACUCAAAUGAA
RNAcentral lists this ribosomal RNA (901 nucleotides) under uncultured SAR86 cluster bacterium. Its description in RNAcentral is "bacterial SSU rRNA". It matches the Rfam family "Bacterial small subunit ribosomal RNA", at positions 8 to 909 of the family's 1533-position model. The record is from RNAcentral. Lineage: Bacteria; Pseudomonadati; Pseudomonadota; Gammaproteobacteria.